GGGGUUUUAGUUUAAUUAAGAAUUGUUAGCUGUUAACUAAUGGGUGUCAAAAUGUCAAGCUCCU
RNAcentral lists this transfer RNA (64 nucleotides) under Hiatella sp. J HML-2015. Its description in RNAcentral is "tRNA-Asn". The record is from RNAcentral. Lineage: Eukaryota; Metazoa; Mollusca; Bivalvia; Adapedonta; Hiatellidae. RNAcentral also lists the same sequence under 1 other name.